GACGAACGCUGGCGGCGCGCUUAACACAUGCAAGUCGAACGGAAAGGCCUGCUUUCCCUUGUGGAUUGCGGGUACUCGAGUGGCGAACGGGUGAGUAACACGUGAGUGAUCUGCCCCCAACUUGGGUAUAAGCCUGGGAAACUGGGUCUAAUUCCCGAUAGGACUGCAGGGUGGUGCCUGUGGUGGAACACGAUUUUCUAGUGGUUGGGGAUGAGCUCGCGGCCUAUCAGCUUGUUGGUGGGGUAAUGGCCUACCAAGGCGGCGACGGGUAGCCGGCCUGAGAGGGUGGACGGCCACAUUGGGACUGAGAUACGGCCCAGACUCCUACGGGAGGCAGCAGUGGGGAAUAUUACACAAUGGGCGGAAGCCUGAUGCAGCGACGCCGCGUGGGGGAUGACGGCCUUCGGGUGGUAAACUCCUUUCGACCGCGAGGAAGCCACCUGGUUGGAAGGGUGGUGACGGUAGUGGUAGAAGAAGCACCGGCUAACUACGUG
This 494-nucleotide ribosomal RNA is filed under the name uncultured bacterium. RNAcentral describes it as "partial 16S ribosomal RNA". It matches the Rfam family "Bacterial small subunit ribosomal RNA", at positions 28 to 507 of the family's 1533-position model. The record is from RNAcentral.